GCCGACGUAGCUCAGCGGCCAGAGCAGUUGUUUUGUAAACAACGGGCCGGGGGUUCGACUCCCUCCGUCGGCU
RNAcentral lists this transfer RNA (73 nucleotides) under Chloroflexota bacterium. Its description in RNAcentral is "Chloroflexi bacterium tRNA-Thr". It matches the Rfam family "tRNA". From Rfam's summary of the family: Transfer RNA (tRNA) molecules are approximately 80 nucleotides in length. Their secondary structure includes four short double-helical elements and three loops (D, anti-codon, and T loops). Lineage: Bacteria; Bacillati; Chloroflexota. The record is from RNAcentral.